Fukomys damarensis (Damara mole-rat) is the source of this 62-nucleotide non-coding RNA. The record is from Rfam. NCBI's taxonomy places the organism in Eukaryota, Metazoa, Chordata, Mammalia, Rodentia, Bathyergidae.
UAGGGGUCUCAGGGCCAGGAGCUCCCCCCUGAGCCCAGGCUAACCUUGAAAAUAGGGGGGCA